ACGUGAUGUGCCUUCUCUGUGCCUUUUCCUUAAAUAAAGGGCAUUCCUGUUUCCAAGGCAGAAAUAUCACAAGGAGGCUGAUGCUGCACAGCAGUCGACCCGGGGAGCCUUUCUGAGCAUCUCUGCUUCCGAUGCUGAGGAAAACCAGGAUGUGCAAGUAGCCCCUCUUUUCAUUCAAACCUGGAUCAGUUGCCUGAAUUUUUUCAUCUUACCGCUGCUUUGGCAUCAGCACGUUUCUUCUACUACACCUCAGUCAAGAGUCAAACCUUGACCGCUGUGAGACUACUGGUAUGGCUUGGGGAAUGGUCUUGUUUGUACAUCUCCUCUGGCCGUGGUGCUGUUGAAGUCAUGAGCCACGUGGUCUGUUGUGGUAGCGGUAUUUUUAUUAGGUGUGGGACUGAAAAAGACUCAACGAUGGCAUUGUCUGUUACUUUUUCCAGCUUUGGAUCAAGUACUCAAGUUUAUGUUGUUAUCACUGAUAACUCAUUUUUGCAGGUAAAGCACCCUCUCUUUAGUUCCUGGGCUGGGGCCAUUGAGAAAUUACAUU
RNAcentral lists this long non-coding RNA (547 nucleotides) under Struthio camelus australis. RNAcentral describes it as "lncRNA (ENSSCUG00000011756.1)". Lineage: Eukaryota; Metazoa; Chordata; Aves; Struthioniformes; Struthionidae. The record is from RNAcentral.